Molecule: ribosomal RNA, 355 nt
Filed under: uncultured soil bacterium
Lineage: Bacteria
Description: bacterial SSU rRNA
Rfam family: Bacterial small subunit ribosomal RNA
Source: RNAcentral
AGGACGAACGCUGGCGGCGUGCUUAACACAUGCAAGUCGAACGGUGAAGGAGAGCUUGCUCUCUGGAUCAGUGGCGAACGGGUGAGUAACACGUGAGUAACCUGCCCUUGACUCUGGGAUAAGCGUUGGAAACGACGUCUAAUACCGGAUACGAGCUUCAGUCGCAUGGGCUAGGAGCGUGGAAAGAAUUUCGGUACAAGGAUGGACUCGCGGCCUAUCAGCUAGUUGGUGAGGUAAUGGCUCACCAAGGCGACGACGGGUAGCCGGCCUGAGAGGGUGACCGGCCACACUGGGACUGAGACACGGCCCAGACCUCCUACGGGAGCAGCAGGUGGGAAUAGUUGCACAAGUGGCG